Molecule: non-coding RNA, 70 nt
Organism: Dipodomys ordii (Ord's kangaroo rat)
Lineage: Eukaryota; Metazoa; Chordata; Mammalia; Rodentia; Heteromyidae
Source: Rfam
GGAGGUGGCUCAGUGGUAGAGUGCUUGCAUUGCAUGCAUGAGGCCUGGGUUCCAUUCCUCAGCACCUCUU